UACGAGGGGUGCAAGCGUUGCUCGGAAUUAUUGGGCGUAAAGGGUAGGUAGGUGGUCUCAUUUGUCUAGGGUGAAAGCCUUGAGCUUAACUCAAGAAGUGCCCCGGAAACGGUGAGACUAGAGUCCUGGAGAGGGUCGUGGAAUUCCCGGUGUAGCGGUGAAAUGCGUAGAGAUCGGGAGGAACACCAGCGGCGAAGGCGGCGACCUGGACAGGCACUGACACUCAACUACGAAAGCGUGGGGAGCAAACAGG
This 253-nucleotide ribosomal RNA is filed under the name uncultured prokaryote. Its description in RNAcentral is "partial 16S ribosomal RNA". It matches the Rfam family "Bacterial small subunit ribosomal RNA", at positions 524 to 776 of the family's 1533-position model. The record is from RNAcentral.